CAGUCGUACCGACGAGAAAUCAACUCCUUGAGUGCGAACUUGUGGGCGUGUGUGAGCUUUAAAACCUCGCUGUUUGCAACGUUUGUGCUUUUUGGGUGUACUUUUUCGUAUGGUAGGCCAACAUCAGUUUUGGUCGCUAUAAAAUGGCUGGAGGAAUGUAGCUUCGAUCUCGUAUUGAAGUGUUAUAGUCUCUGGUAGAUGUAGUGAUUGAUACUGAGGAUUGCAACGAAUACCCUUCGGGCUAUUCGUCUGAUCUCUG
RNAcentral lists this ribosomal RNA (259 nucleotides) under uncultured Glomeromycotina. Its description in RNAcentral is "partial large subunit ribosomal RNA". The record is from RNAcentral. Lineage: Eukaryota; Fungi; Glomeromycota.